UACAGAGGGUGCGAGCGUUAAUCGGAAUUACUGGGCGUAAAGCGCACGUAGGUGGCGACGUAAGUCGGGUGUGAAAGCCCCGGGCUCAACCUGGGAAUUGCAUUCGAGACUGCAUUGCUGGAGUACGGAAGAGGAAGGCGGAAUUCCCGGUGUAGCGGUGAAAUGCGUAGAUAUCGGGAGGAACAUCAGUGGCGAAGACGGCCUUCUGGUCCAGUACUGACACUCAAGUGCGAAAGCGUGGGGAGCAAACAGG
This 253-nucleotide ribosomal RNA is filed under the name uncultured bacterium. Its description in RNAcentral is "partial 16S ribosomal RNA". It matches the Rfam family "Bacterial small subunit ribosomal RNA", at positions 524 to 776 of the family's 1533-position model. The record is from RNAcentral.